GCAGCUCAACCCCGUGCUCCGCAGCCCUGCAGAACCUGCCCCUGGCAUGACGACGCUGAACCUGAACAGCCCUGUGGCUGGCGGAGAACCAGUCGCAGCGAUGCUCAAGUUCCAGACGGAAGAGGACGAGCCACGGGCCAGAAAGUGCUCACCUGCUACCUGCUGCCCCAGCAGCCCCUCGGCCAGCCUCGAAAACCUUCUUUCAGAGCAGCGUGAUGACAGCUGGACAGACGCCAACCUCAAUCGGGUCAGCGUAAUCCAGUUCUUGAGGAACCUCAACGCGGCCGAGGACGAGGAGGGGGCCGAACGGCGGGUGAGGCCCUGGCCCGGCGGCCUGGGAGAGGGGGCGUUUGGGCCGGGGCUCCCGGAGCGGACUGACCCCCACCUCUACCCUUGCCCGGCAGGGCUUGCAAACGCAGAUGCCACCCCUCACCCAGUGAACUGAAGGUCAUUAAGAAAGUGAUCGAGGUGCGGCGCCACGAGGCCUUCCCGCGCCCUCGUCCCCCGCGGACCCGCCGGACUCUCCCGCCGCACAGGGCAAGAGACUCAGUGCCGGCUCCCAGCCGAGCCAGGAUUCCCCAGGGCUCUAGCACCAGCAACCGUCUCUGCGGGUGGCCCCGGGGAGCCCGAGGAGCAGAGGACGCAGGAAGCGGGGCCUCAACGGGAGCCCCACGCCAGCCGACAGCGCACAGCCGGAGGAGGCGAGCCCCGGCGCCCAGCGCGGAGCUGGACGAGGGUGCUGGCCGCCGGAGGAAGAGGAGGAGCAGGAGAUGGAAUACGACGAGCCCACAGUGCACUUUGCCGAGGACACACUGCUGCCCAGCGCCGAACCGGCGGGCGUGGCCGGAGAGCGGGAGCCGCACGAGCAAGAGGGAGGAGGGGGCGGAGCGCUGCUGGAGGCCGGCCAACGCCAGAGGCUCUUCCGCAAGGACACCCCGCACUACAAGAAGCAUUUCCGGAUCACCAAGCUGCCCAGGCCCGAGGCUGUGGCGCCCUGCUGCAGGGGCUGCGCCCCGACGGGACCCCCCAGGAGGGGGCCUUUCCCGUCGCCGGCGGGGGCCUGUGUAGCAACGGCCCCGCCCCCAGGACCAGCCGCCGGCCCCUGGGGCCUGCAGGGGGCCGAGGAGGAGGAGGAGCAAGAAGAGGAGGACCGGGAUGAGGAGGACCGGGAGGAAGAGGAGGAGGAGAUGGAAGAAGAUGACGACGAAGACGAGGGGAGGAACGGGGCUCAGGCUGCCCAGCCACCACCAAGGUAAGGUCCGUUCGGUGGGGUCGGGGUAGUGGGAGCAGGG
Molecule: long non-coding RNA, 1292 nt
Filed under: Ornithorhynchus anatinus (platypus)
Lineage: Eukaryota; Metazoa; Chordata; Mammalia; Monotremata; Ornithorhynchidae
Description: lncRNA (ENSOANG00000049739.1)
Source: RNAcentral